GACCCCUUCAUCUAGUGGUAGGAUAGCAUUUUUUCAUGAUGCCUGCAUUGGUUCAAUUCCAAUAGGGGUUA
This is a non-coding RNA of Piptocephalis cylindrospora, 71 nucleotides long. NCBI's taxonomy places the organism in Eukaryota, Fungi, Zoopagomycota, Zoopagomycetes, Zoopagales, Piptocephalidaceae. The record is from the annotation of a GenBank genome assembly.